UACUCAGUUUUGAAGUCUUUCUGGGUUGCCAAAGUGACUUUUCUUGUGUCAUAGAGAGACUGUCAGACUGGGCUGUCCCCAGGCCUUGUCAUUCCAGAGGAAAUGCUCCUUCCCUGGGCCAGAGGAAAAUGGCCAGGAUGCCCAUCACUCUCAGUUUUCUCCUUGGUAAAGGAUGAGAUUGGACUAGAUAAUGGUUAACCACACAAGCUGUCAUUUUCAGGAAAAGGAGAAUUGGGCCAACUGCUUCCUAUGGCCAUCUGCUGGGUGACAUUUAACCCCAGCCUUGUCUUUUACCUUGUUAAAAAUGAACUUUCUCUUAACUGUGUAACCUUUAUCGGAACAAUACAUCUCUCUGGCUCCCAGAGGCCAGUGACAAUUAGCCAUUUCUCCUCCCACUUCCCCCGCUUCUGCUGCAACAGAGUAAAUCAUCAUUUUCCAUUCCUUCCGUUCUGGACCCAAAGACUGGAUAAUGUCAGAAGCUACUGAUCUAGAACAUGAGCCAGCCAGAAGGAAUCAGUUGUGGCGAAGGAGCUAGCCAUCUGAAGGAGCAAGAUACCAUGAAGGAGACACAGGAGAAAACUUACUCCCAACGCAGUCAAACCAGCACCACCAGCUCUCUUCAGACCCUAGUGGAAUAGCACAGGAUCCUGAAUAAAAAAGCUUUGGCAGUAGCAGAGCCCUCUGGAUCAUCCAUCUACUAAAGAAAGAAAUCCCUAUGGUGAGCACCAUCUCCACCCUCCCUCCACAAUAUCCUUUCCCUACCCCCAUCCUUGAUCACUACCAAAUAAAAGCUCUUUCUUAUAAGCUCUUCCCAUAAUAUGGAGCCCACCAUCCUCAAACCACCAAUGCCAACUGUUGACCAAAGGCCAUCUAAGGAAGAGAUAGACCCAAGAGCCUUGGGGUCUAGACAAUGGGCACUACUUCCUGCCCAGUCCUCACAGCCAUCCUUCCAGUAAGCAACCACUGUCAAGAAGCAGCCAGGCAAUUCCUGUUAAUGGUGCUGCUGCAGUCACAGAUCCUGAAGACUUAGGAAAAAAAGGUUUUGCAGCCAAAACUCUUGGCCCUGUGAAAUGAUUCAGCCUCAGAAACAUAUGAUUUUCUCAGUGCAAAUGACAUUAAAGACUAUAAUACACUGCCA
Monodelphis domestica (gray short-tailed opossum) is the source of this 1138-nucleotide long non-coding RNA. RefSeq lists it as uncharacterized. The record is from RefSeq and is a predicted model, not a curated record. Lineage: Eukaryota; Metazoa; Chordata; Mammalia; Didelphimorphia; Didelphidae.